Lynx canadensis (Canada lynx) is the source of this 73-nucleotide non-coding RNA. The record is from the annotation of a RefSeq genome assembly. Lineage: Eukaryota; Metazoa; Chordata; Mammalia; Carnivora; Felidae.
ACCUAGCUGGCUCAGUUGGAAGAGCAUAAGACUCCUGAUCUCAGGGUUGUGGGUUCGAGCCCUAUGUUGGGUA